UACGAAGGGUGCAAACGUUGCUCGGAAUUAUUGGGCGUAAAGCGCACGUAGGCGGCUUGGCAAGUCGGAUGUGAAAUCCCUCGGCUCAACCAAGGAAGUGCAUCCGAAACUGCUGAGCUUGAGUACGAAAGAGGAUCGCGGAAUUCCCGGUGUAGAGGUGAAAUUCGUAGAUAUCGGGAGGAACACCAGUGGCGAAGGCGGCGAUCUGGGUCGAUACUGACGCUGAGGAGCGAAAGCGUGGGGAGCGAACAGG
RNAcentral lists this ribosomal RNA (253 nucleotides) under uncultured bacterium. RNAcentral's name for it is "partial 16S ribosomal RNA". It matches the Rfam family "Bacterial small subunit ribosomal RNA", at positions 524 to 776 of the family's 1533-position model. The record is from RNAcentral.